RNAcentral lists this ribosomal RNA (429 nucleotides) under Smeringopina kinguele. RNAcentral describes it as "partial 16S ribosomal RNA". Lineage: Eukaryota; Metazoa; Arthropoda; Arachnida; Araneae; Pholcidae. The record is from RNAcentral.
CGCUUUAAGACUUUAUUUAAAGUAUCGCCUGCUCAGUGGUUUAUCUAAAUAGCCGCAGUUUAACCUGUGCUAAGGUAGCAUAAUAAUUAGCUUUUUAAUUAAAAGAUAGUAUGAAAGGCUAAACACGGAGCCUCUGUUUCAUUUAAUCAUAAUAAAAUUAUAAAACUAGUAAAAAUACUAGUAUAUAAAUAAAAGACGACAAGACCCUAAUAAACUUAACAUUUAAUUGGGGCAAUAAAAUAAUAAAACUUUAUUUAUAAAUAUACAACUGUAAUACACAAUAAUAAAAUAGUUACUAUAGGGAUAACAGCGCAAUUCUUUUUAAAAGCUCAUAUUAAAAAAAGACAUUACGACCUCGAUGUUGAAUUAAUUAUCCGAUAUUCAGUGCAAAAGCUAAUAUGGUAGGGUCUGUUCGACCUACUUUCAAUU